RNAcentral lists this ribosomal RNA (484 nucleotides) under uncultured bacterium. RNAcentral describes it as "partial 16S ribosomal RNA". It matches the Rfam family "Bacterial small subunit ribosomal RNA", at positions 30 to 507 of the family's 1533-position model. The record is from RNAcentral.
AUUGAACGCUGGCGGCAGGCCUAACACAUGCAAGUCGAGCGGAUGAAGGGAGCUUGCUCCUGGAUUCAGCGGCGGACGGGUGAGUAAUGCCUAGGAAUCUGCCUGGUAGUGGGGGAUAACGUCCGGAAACGGGCACUAAUACCGCAUACGUCCUGAGGGAGAAAGUGGGGGAUCUUCGGACCUCACGCUAUCAGAUGAGCCUAGGUCGGAUUAGCUAGUUGGUGGGGUAAAGGCCUACCAAGGCGACGAUCCGUAACUGGUCUGAGAGGAUGAUCAGUCACACUGGAACUGAGACACGGCCCAGACUCCUACGGGAGGCAGCAGUGGGGAAUAUUGGACAAUGGGCGAAAGCCUGAUCCAGCCAUGCCGCGUGUGUGAAGAAGGUCUUCGGAUUGUAAAGCACUUUAAGUUGGGAGGAAGGGCAGUAAGUUAAUACCUUGCUGUUUUGACGUUACCAACAGAAUAAGCACCGGCUAACUUCGUG